Molecule: non-coding RNA, 2089 nt
Organism: Macaca mulatta (Rhesus monkey)
Lineage: Eukaryota; Metazoa; Chordata; Mammalia; Primates; Cercopithecidae
Source: RefSeq, a predicted model, not a curated record
GUUAACGUGUCCCGCGAGUGAGGCGCGUCGCAAAAGGUCGCGGCGGAACUUCCCUGCGCUUUUCAGACCAUACGCUUUACGGUAUUAGGCAUUGCUGAGCUGGGAGAUGUCGGCAGCGGGUUGGGAGGAACCGUGGGGUCCUCCCGGCGGCUUUGCGAAGCGGGUCCUGGUGACCGGCGGUGCUGGUUUCAUUGCAUCACAUAUGAUUGUCUCUUUAGUGGAAGAUUAUCCAAACUAUAUGAUCAUAAAUCUAGACAAGUUGGAUUACUGUGCAAGCUUGAAGAAUCUUGAAACCAUUUCUAACAAACAGAACUACAAAUUUAUACAGGGUGACAUAUGUGAUUCUCACUUUGUGAAACUGCUUUUUGAAACAGAAAAAAUAGAUAUAGUACUACAUUUUGCUGCGCAAACACAUGUAGAUCUUUCAUUCGUACGUGCCUUUGAGUUUACCUAUGUUAAUGUUUAUGGCACUCACGUUUUGGUAAGUGCUGCUCAUGAAGCCAGAGUGGAGAAGUUUAUUUACGUCAGCACAGAUGAAGUAUAUGGUGGCAGUCUUGAUAAGUUGUUAUCAGGUAAACUUCUUUGUUCAUGCACCCUGCCACCCUACAUCAGAUCCGACACAGUAACCAGAGUGAUUUUUAAAAUGAUUGUUGUGCACAUUAAAGAAGCUACUACAUGUCCUUGGGAAAACACCAGGAAUUCGAUGAAUCUUCACCCAAACAACCUACAAAUCCUUACGCAUCAUCUAAAGCAGCUGCUGAAUGUUUUGUACAGUCUUACUGGGAACGAUAUAAGAAACCUUACGUUAGAAAAAAAUCUCUUCCCUUUGACCUUAAGUUUCCAGUUGUUAUCACAAGAAGCAGUAAUGUUUAUGGACCACAUCAAUAUCCAGAAAAGGUUAUUCCAAAAUUUAUAUCUUUGCUACAGCACAACAGGAAAUGUUGCAUUCAUGGGUCAGGGCUUCAAACAAGAAACUUCCUUUAUGCUACUGAUGUUGUAGAAGCAUUUCUCACUGUCCUCAAAAAAGGGAAACCAGGUGAAAUUUAUAACAUCGGAACCAAUUUUGAAAUGUCAGUUGUCCAGCUUGCCAAAGAACUAAUACAACUGAUCAAAGAGACCAAUUCAGAGUCCGAAAUGGAAAAUUGGGUUGAUUAUGUUAAUGAUAGACCUACCAAUGACAUGAGAUAUCCAAUGAAGUCAGAAAAAAUACAUGGCUUGGGAUGGAGACCUAAAGUGCCUUGGAAAGAAGGAAUAAAGAAAACAAUUGAAUGGUACAGAGAGAAUUUUCACAACUGGAAGAAUGCAGAAAAGGCAUUAGAACCCUUUCCGGUAUAAUCACCAUUUAUAUAGUCAAGACAGUUGUCAAAGAAAAAAAUUAUCCUACCUCUACAAGUGGUAUGAAAUUAAGUGACCAAAUGAAGUGCUCUCUUUUCAUUUGAAAUUAGAUUCAUGACUUUUUGUAUAAUAUUCAAAUGCAGAAUGCCUCAGUCUUUGGGAGAGUUUCAGUACUGGCAUAGAAUUUAAAUGUCAGAAUUCUUUCUGAAACCCUUUCUCCUGGAAACUAGGAAAUAAUAGGGGUAGAAGACUCCCCACGGGUAGCCAGGAAGAAGUCUCCUGGUUCUGACAACUAUGAGGGGUAAUGGUGCUAGGCAGAUGGCAACCUUCACUGGUUUUGAGCUCAGUCAGCUUCCCAGCCUUUCCCAGUGUCUAAGAAAGUCUCUGAAAUGUUCGUUUUUAGGCAAUAUAGGAUGAGUCUUAUGUCCUAAUUCACCUUUUCUUUUUUUAAGAUCUGAUAUACUAUCAUUGCCUUAGUAAUGGAACAAAAUAAAAGCAUAUCUAGCACUUUUUAACUUUUGAUAAUUUUGUAAAAUUGAUUACGUUGAAUGCUUUUUAAGAUGUAAAGUUUUUAUAUUUUCACAAUUAACCUAUGUAAAACCUUGUAUCAGAAAUUUAUCAUGUAUUUACUGUUUAAAAUUAUUUUAUUUAUAAAAUUGUCAAUAUCUUAAUGUAUUUAAUGUAGAAUAUUGCUUUUUAAAAUAAUAUGUUUUUAUUUUGCUGUAGAAAAAUUAAAAAAAAAUUUGAUUAUGUA